This 440-nucleotide ribosomal RNA is filed under the name uncultured Leptolinea sp. RNAcentral's name for it is "bacterial SSU rRNA". It matches the Rfam family "Bacterial small subunit ribosomal RNA", at positions 338 to 795 of the family's 1533-position model. The record is from RNAcentral. Lineage: Bacteria; Bacillati; Chloroflexota; Anaerolineae; Anaerolineales; Anaerolineaceae.
CCUACGGGAGGCUGCAGUAGGGAAUAUUGGUAAUGUGCGAAAGCGCGAACCAGCAACGCCGCGUGUGCGAUGACGGCCUUCGGGUUGUAAAGCACUUUUUAAGGGGAUGAGGAAGGACAGUACCCUUAGAAUAAGCCUCGGCUAACUACGUGCCAGCAGCCGCGGUAAAACGUAGGAGGCGAGCGUUAUCCGGAUUUAUUGGGCGUAAAGCGUGUGUAGGCGGUUUGAUAAGUUGGAUGUGAAAGCUCCUGGCUUAACUGGGAGAGGUCGUUCAAAACUAUCAGACUUGAGAGUGGUAGAGGGAGGUGGAAUUCCGGGUGUAGUGGUGAAAUGCGUAGAUAUCCGGAGGAACACCAGUGGCGAAAGCGGCCUCCUGGCCCAUUUCUGACGCUCAGACACGAAAGCUAGGGUAGCAAACGGGAUUAGAUACCCCAGUAGUC